RNAcentral lists this long non-coding RNA (451 nucleotides) under Homo sapiens (human). Its description in RNAcentral is "non-protein coding lnc-PLA2G4A-13:1". Lineage: Eukaryota; Metazoa; Chordata; Mammalia; Primates; Hominidae. The record is from RNAcentral.
AUAAAAAUAUUUUAGCUAAGUAUGAAAAAUACAUUAAAACACUUAGAAUAUGAUCAUUUUGCAAUCAUCUCCAGUGAAUUAAUGAAUCUAGGCACUGAGCACUAUUACAAAGUAUUACUAUUCACAUGUCAUUUUAAUACUCAAGUUUUAAGUAAUACCCCAGAUAUUGCAGCUAUUAAAAAGAGCACAGAAUCAGGAAACCAUGGGAUGUUCUAGAAUUUUAUCAGUGAAGAAACCUGAAACCUGAGGUUACUAGGGAAAAUAUAAGGACCUGCCCAUACCUUCUUUCUAUCGCCAGGGAUUCCUAAAUGUCUAUCCCAAGGGAUACCAACACACAAUAGUUUUCCUAUCAUGUGUUGAAUGUGAUUUUUUAAAACUGAAAAUUUACCUGAAGUAAUUUUAUAAAAAUUGCUAUUAGACUUUACUUGGCAAAAAAAGAAAAAUAUCCAAA